RNAcentral lists this long non-coding RNA (1097 nucleotides) under Lepidothrix coronata (blue-crowned manakin). RNAcentral describes it as "lncRNA (ENSLCOG00000011959.1)". The record is from RNAcentral. Lineage: Eukaryota; Metazoa; Chordata; Aves; Passeriformes; Pipridae.
ACAGACCCAUCUCCGCUACCGGAACACACAGAAGAAGAAGAAGAAGAAAAAGAAGAAGAAGGAACGGAGGAACCUAUUCAAACCAUGCAGGAAGUAGUUGAUGAAGGAGCGGCAGCAACAGAUGAAGGAGUGGCUACAAGCGAGGAAGGAGCGGCAGCAAUGAUCGAAGGAGCGACUGCGAGAGAGGAAGAAGUGGCUGUGACUGAGGAAGGAGCAAUUGAAACAGAAGAAGCAGCUGCCGGAGAGGAAGAAACAGUUGCAAGGGAAGGAGCACGCCCAAAAGAACUAGGGGCGCGUCCAAAGGAAAGCAGAGCAGUAUCAAGAGAAAGGAAGGCAACAGUACAAACGGCCCGUGGUAUAUUGUCACCUGAUGAUUUAUACCCUGACUACACAUUCAGUGUUACAAAAGAUGCAAAGAAGGGGCCAAAGUAUCCCCCUCAACCUGAGGGAGAAUUAUUCCUACCCCUCCAGACCCAACCUUCUCUUGGAGGCGUGGAUGAUUGGAGGAAGCUCUUAUCUUGGCACCCGAGAGACUACUCGCUACCUCCACCGGCUGGGUAUCGUGAACGACAUAGAAGUCCAUCUCCACGGCGUGAACGACGUAGAAGUCCAUCUCCACGGCGUGAACGACGUAGAAGUUCAUCUCCGCGGCGUGAAUGGUGUAGGAGUCCGUCCCCACGGUAUGAAAGGCGUAGAAGUCCAUCUCCACGGUAUGAACAGCGUAGAAGUCCAUCUCCACGCCAUGAACAACAUAGAAGCUUAUCCCCACGGCAUGCCCAGUCUCCACCUCCACGUGAGAGAUACAGAGAGGAGGCAGGAGCGGUUCCACGUAAGAGUGGAAGAGUAAAGAGGGAGGUGGAAAAGAUUCUACGUGGGAGAGAUGGACAAGAAAUAAUGCGAGAAAGCGAAAUUACACAAUCACUGACCACAGGAGAGCUUAGAGAUUUACGGAGAGAUUAUAUGCGCUUGCCUGGUGAACAAAUCCUCACCUGGCUGGUGCGAUGCUGGGACAAGGGAGCUGAUAGUCACAUAAUUGAAGGUGACGAAGCACGACAACUGGAAUCCAUUGCCCGAGACCCUAAGAUAGAACAAGAAAU